CUGGAACAUUUUAUGGAAGAACCGUUAGGCCAUAAAUGAAUCCUCAGGUACUCUGCCAAUAUACAUUGUCGCCAAGGUUGCCAUGUGUUCCUCUCGUCGGUCCAUCGGGUGCGAAGUAUGCCGACCGGGAUACCAUCCUGCCCGAGGUGUGUGUGUGUGUCCUGGUCUCUGAUGUGAUUUACGUUACAUCCGCACUACCGCGUUUCGGAUACGAAAGACUGUUGAACAAUACCGUCUCUAUUAAAGGCAGAUUCGUACUGCUUGUUCAUUGUCUACGCUUCUGGACUACAAGCGAAUCCUAAAAUAGUUGAUUUAAUGAUUGUUCUCUCCUUGAAGCAUAAGUAAUGCUAGAGAUAUUUGGCAAAAAAUGGAGGCUAUAUCUGCAAUCGCCACUGAAAAUAGCGUAACUGCUACACACAUACGUAAGUAUAAUACAUGGCAUAAACCGCUACAAUGCUUAUAGCUAUAUCGAAGAAGAUACUCUAUACGUAACAAUUUUCUAACCCCCACAUGACCAAACUAUAAUCUUGGGCAACAGUGUAUACAAAGCCGUAUUAUACAUGUACGAUGUAUAUGUACAUAUUUUGCUCACUGUCAACAAUAUACAAGAAGGAUACUUUUACGUAUCCCUACAAGGAUAUUUUAAAAGCAAUUUUUGUAUCUCAAUACUUCAGAUAGAAGAGAUAAUACCAAAAUUCUACAGGAUAUUUUGUUGUACGUAACGAAUAUAGCAGGGACAGAUUUGGCAAACAAGAAAAGCAGCUUAUAUAAAUAUACAUAUACGCGAUGUGAUCUUAUUUUCGAGUUAUUUAUGGCUUAUUUGGUUAUCAUUCGUAUGUAUCAGUUGUAGAACGGUACAUUAAAAUCAAUUCAUAAGUGAGAAGAAUUUUUUAUUGCAUAAAGACGAAUAAAAAAUUUCUCUAUAAUGUAUGUAAUUAUUUAGACAAAAACGGACGAAU
RNAcentral lists this unclassified non-coding RNA (959 nucleotides) under Bombus terrestris (buff-tailed bumblebee). Its description in RNAcentral is "misc RNA ENSBTSG00005022942.1". The record is from RNAcentral. Lineage: Eukaryota; Metazoa; Arthropoda; Insecta; Hymenoptera; Apidae.